UUCUGGGUGAGGAUCCAGGGAUUUUAACCUGACCUUUCCUGUUAUCCCAGUGAGUUUUGGAGCCAUUUUUCAUGGAGCAAUGGGAAUCCUUCAGGAUUUAUUCCAUGGGAAUGUUCAGCAGCUCAGUCUAGUGAGGAUCCAGGGAUUUUAACCUGAUUUUUGCUGUUAUCCCAGUGAGUUUGGAGCCAUUUUUAUGGGAAUUCUUCAGGAUUUAUUCCCCCUCAGUGUGGGUGAGGAUCCAGGGAUUUUACCUUGACCUUUGCUGUUAUCCCAGUGAGUUUGGAGCCAUUUUCAUGG
Molecule: long non-coding RNA, 297 nt
Filed under: Zonotrichia albicollis (white-throated sparrow)
Lineage: Eukaryota; Metazoa; Chordata; Aves; Passeriformes; Passerellidae
Description: lncRNA (ENSZALG00000004913.1)
Source: RNAcentral